CCAGAGUUCCGGCUGGAGUCGGGGGAGGGGAGAGGGACGAGGGGCAGGAGGAGAGGGCGUGGUUUCGGGGGAGGGCGUGGUUUCGGGUGGGGCGAGGUGUCAGGUUUGAGGGUGUGGCUGCUCCUGAAAGACCGCCCCUGUGUCCUGCUACCCCUCUGUCAAGCUGCCGGGCGGCUGCAGCUUCGCGGCACCCAGUCUAGGUUAAAGCAGCCGCCCCGGGCUCGGCUCGGGCUCCUCUGUCCCAGGCUGUGGCCCCGGACGGCCCCGGACUCGUGCUGCCCUUGGCUUCCCGCUCUCAAGUCGAGGGUUUGGAUACCGAGGGGCGAGGAAGGAAGUGACCGAAGACAGGCACCUGUCAAAUCGGUCCUUUCGAGUUGUGGUAGCGGGGCCUGGAUGGCUUGGUGUAGGUGAGGUCUUGAGAGAGUCUCUUGGGACUCGGAAAUCGGACGUCUCCGGGACUGGAGUUCUUGAAUUCAUUAAGCUGAGUCGAGUAGCUGGGGAAAAGAUCCGGUGGACGCCGGCAGGAGAGGGUGUGACAUCUUGGGACCUGUCGGGGCAGGGAAUCUGGUGAAAACUUUCCUUGAUGUGCACCCGCGGCUGCAUCAGCAAUAAAGGUUGCGGACACAACACUAUUAUCACUUGUAAAGUUGGACGAGGGACAGGAAAAUCCAGGGAGUGAUGUCUGCAUUGACGAAAAAUCUGGCCAAGGUGAAGUACUAGCAGUACUGCCUUGCGGACAGGUGCUUCCCUAACCCCCUCCUCAUCCAUUAGAACGUUUUUGUGUUCAUUUCGAAAACUGUUAGGAAGACGCAAUCAGAAGGUUGCUGUGAAACAACGUUAACUUUCUGUUCCUCCCCCUUGUAGUUUUAUGCUAAAGGAGUUCAAGGUCAUCUUUGAAAACUAGGUCACUUGUUUUGAAUAGUUUUAUCUGAAGAAAGGAUUUGGAAACGUUGUCUCUUCCAUCCCCUUUCCUACCCUCACCCCCACUUCUCCUGCCCCCCAGCAAACAGUGGGUUUAGUUUUCUCUCUCCUGAAUUCUCACCUUUUAAAGAUCAGGGAAGAAGAAAACAGCUUCUUUUGGCAUGCAAUUAUUUGUGGUUAAUCCGGUCUUGUGACUUUUGUUCCUUACCUCUCCUUUAGCUCCUUCAAUAUUACUGUGUACCCAUAGUGUUUUCUGUAAAGAAUGCAAAGGGUAAGAGGAGAAAGGGAAACUUUGUCCAUGAAAAGCUCUAGUAAACAUGUUUAUUAUUUUUUAAACCACAAAAAUUGGGGCUAUAUUGAGUUCUAAUAUCCUCACCACUUUGGGGGAAGAUAUUUGUAAAUUAUAAUUAUUUUAUCAAUAAAAUAUCAACUUAAAGUAUAAGUCUCUCUCUGUGUGUAAUAUCUUGCAUUAACAGGUCUAUCCAAUGAAGUGAAUGCUUUAGAAAUCUAAGGUUCUAGUUUAUAGAGGCCAACUGGAAUAGAAGUAUAUAUAAGUUAUUAAAUAACUGUGCAAUCUUGAGAAUAGUGGUAUUAGGAAUAUUUCAAAGUUUAAAGAUUGCUUCAUUCAAAUAUAUCUGUGACCUGACAAUUAUUUUU
Bos grunniens (domestic yak) is the source of this 1578-nucleotide long non-coding RNA. The record is from Ensembl. NCBI's taxonomy places the organism in Eukaryota, Metazoa, Chordata, Mammalia, Artiodactyla, Bovidae.